Molecule: ribosomal RNA, 440 nt
Filed under: uncultured bacterium
Lineage: Bacteria
Description: partial 16S ribosomal RNA
Rfam family: Bacterial small subunit ribosomal RNA
Source: RNAcentral
CCUACGGUGGGCAGCAGUGGGGAAUAUUGCACAAUGGGGGAAACCCUGAUGCAGCGACGCCGCGUGAGCGAUGAAGUAUUUCGGCACGUAAAGCUCUAUCAGCAGGGAAGAAAAUGACGGUACCUGACUAAGAAGCCCCGGCUAACUAGGUGCCAGCAGCCGCGGUAAUACGUAGGGGGCAAGCGUUAUCCGGAUUUACUGGGUGUAAAGGGAGCGUAGACGGCUCGGCAAGCCAGAUGUGAAAGCCUGGGACUCAACCCCAGGACUGCAUUUGGAACUGUCAUGCUAGAGUGUCGGAUAGGCAGGCGGAAGUCCGAGUGUAGCGGUGAAAUGCGUAGAUAUUAGGAGGAACACCAGUGGCGAAGGCGGCCUGCUGGACGAUGACUGACGUUGAGGCUCGAAAGCGUGGGGAGCAAACAGGAUUAGAUACCCUAGUAGUC